GGGCCUGUAGCUCAGUGGUUAGAGCAGGGGACUCAUAAUCCCUUGGUCGCAGGUUCGAGUCCUGCCGGGCCCA
This 73-nucleotide transfer RNA is filed under the name Verrucomicrobiota bacterium. Its description in RNAcentral is "Verrucomicrobia bacterium (hydrothermal vent metagenome) tRNA-Met". It matches the Rfam family "tRNA". Rfam says of the family: Transfer RNA (tRNA) molecules are approximately 80 nucleotides in length. Their secondary structure includes four short double-helical elements and three loops (D, anti-codon, and T loops). Further hydrogen bonds mediate the characteristic L-shaped molecular structure. tRNAs have two regions of fundamental functional importance: the anti-codon, which is responsible for specific mRNA codon recognition, and the 3' end, to which the tRNAs corresponding amino acid is attached (by aminoacyl-tRNA synthetases). tRNAs cope with the degeneracy of the genetic code in two manners: having more than one tRNA (with a specific anti-codon) for a particular amino acid; and 'wobble' base-pairing, i.e. permitting non-standard base-pairing at the 3rd anti-codon position. Lineage: Bacteria; Pseudomonadati; Verrucomicrobiota. The record is from RNAcentral. RNAcentral also lists the same sequence under 1 other name.